This 655-nucleotide long non-coding RNA is filed under the name Brassica napus (rape). RNAcentral's name for it is "long non-coding RNA (BNAP_LNC001044)". Lineage: Eukaryota; Viridiplantae; Streptophyta; Magnoliopsida; Brassicales; Brassicaceae. The record is from RNAcentral.
AGAAAGCAAAUACCAAAAAGAAGAUUUCUAUAAAAAACUUGAUAAAACAUUCCAUUGACUUUUUAAAUCAUCUUGAAUCAUUAUCACAUUCGGAUGAAUAAUAUUAUUGACAGGUAACAUUGACCUACACACAAAAUAGUAUUAUUGAUUGUACAUAAGAUCUCCGAAAUCUGGUUUUGGAUAGUUUAUAGUCCGGUCAAUCGUUAGUUUAUAGUCCGGUCAAUCGUUUGUAUUUUAGUUUCAGUUAUACACGGUUUAUUUUUAAGGGAUUUACAUAAACUUUUUUCAUUUGUGAAAGCUUUAAUCUCAAACGGAGGGUUCGGGUUUGAAUUCAGGUCGAUUUGGUUUAGCUUUAGUUUUAAAUUAGCUAGAAUUUCUUUUGUUUAAUUUUUAAUUUAAACUGCGGAGUUUUAACUAACUUGAAGAACAAUCGUCAAGACUGAAAAUCCACGUGAUUGUGGAUUGUUUUUAUAUAUUUUGUAUAGUUGUCGACUGGAAAGUUUUAUGCGGUGGAGUUUCUUAAAGAGGAUUAUACAUGUCACCAAGAAUAUGAUCAACCAAGAAUUCUAUAAAACCUUUUAUUCAAAUUCAAUGUUUCUCUUUUGAAAGCUUUACGUCAUUAGCGACGUCAUCCUACCAAUGGAUUAUUAGCCCA